CAAUAGCGUAUAUUAACGUUGUUGCAGUUAAAAAGCUCGUAGUUGGAUUUCUGGAGGGAGCGUCGGCCCGUAUUUACGAGUGCGUGACGUCUCUGUCCAUCCUUGCGGGAAGGCACGGCAUUGAUUUGUUGUGUCGGAUCGCAUCAUUUACUGUUAAAAAAUUAGAGUGUUCAAAGCAGGCUUUCGCUUGAAUACAUUAGCAUGGAAUAAUAAGAUAGGACUUUGGUGCUAUUUUGUUGGUUGAGCCUAAAGUAAUGAUUAAUAGGGAUAGUUGGGGGCACCUGUAUUGCGUUGUCAGAGGUGAAAUUCUUGGAUUUACGCAAGACAAACAGCUGCGAAAGCGUCUGCCAAGGAUGUUUUCAUUAA
Molecule: ribosomal RNA, 366 nt
Filed under: uncultured eukaryote
Lineage: Eukaryota
Description: partial 18S ribosomal RNA
Rfam family: Eukaryotic small subunit ribosomal RNA
Source: RNAcentral